CAUUUUUGUGUCGAUUGUAAAUCGACACAAAGGUAUAACCACCCAUCUACAGGCAAACAAUCGCAAUUCCAAACAAUCGCAACUCUGCCUUUCCAUUUCACGAUAUACGGUAUUUUUGCUCCGCGCGCGCUAGCGCUAACCGAAAUAUUUCUUAUUGCCAACCGAAUUUCGUUGACAAAAAAAAUAGUUCCGUAUGUUCGGUUACAAGUUAGAAAAUCCAUUUAUGCAUUGAAUAUAGAAGGGGUUGUCAUACAUUUAUAAUUGUAUUAAAGUAUUGAAAAUUAAAAUUACAAUUUAGUUUAAAUUUGUACUGUACGCAGAAAUUAUAUAAAUGCGCGAGUGAAUCACGUGAUUGGCUCUUCAACGACGCCAUUUUUAUUCAAGCAGAUUGAAAUGCAGUUUCGACUUCGUUAUUUGACACAAAUAUCAGGCUAUUUUGAAGAAAUUGCCAUCAAAAAGGCUGUAUGAAUCGGAUAGUGACCACUGAUGAGAAUGAGACAGACACCGAGAGUAGGCCAUCACAAGUUAUUGACAAAGCAACAACGCCCAAAACAGGCACGAAGCCUACUUUCACCUCCGCCUUGCUUAUCUGCACAGGCAUUGCGAGAGGCCAGCAGUGAUGUGCAAAGUGCUUCUCUAAUACAAGGUGCUUCUGAUACGCCCUCCCGUGGGCAGAUUAUUGGGCCCACUGCUGUUACACAGAUUCUCUGAGUCUUGGAGACAAUGCGGGAGGAGAAUCGUGAAAUUAAGAGGAUGAUGUAGCAAUUGUUGUCAAGGUCAGCAGCAGAUGACCAACCGCUGCAGCUUCCUGAAGAUAUCUCAUUCCCUAUUCAUUCUCCUUAGCAGAUGGAAACAUUCGAUGAGCUUCUAGGAGAUCAGACAAAGCUGUCAUCUGUGGUGCGGUUCCUCUCAAUGUUUGGUGGGGCAGUUGUGCGGGAAACUGUUGACCGCUAGAUGAUAGAAACCAUGUCAAAUGAACUGGCAAGAAUGUUCAAUAUGAAGGGGCUGAAAGGGAAGAAAACAUUUGGGGCCUCUAGAUACUGAAUGUAUUGUAUAAAUGUGUCCAAAGGAACUUGCCGACAAAGACUGCGACGAGGAAGGAUAUUGAAAUAAAGGUUUCAAAAGUGGCUGGCUGGGGCGUGGGACCGCGAUGGGGAAGGAAAGCAAGAAACAAAGUGUCC
Ruditapes philippinarum (Manila clam) is the source of this 1181-nucleotide long non-coding RNA. RefSeq lists it as uncharacterized. The transcript has 5 exons. The record is from RefSeq and is a predicted model, not a curated record. NCBI's taxonomy places the organism in Eukaryota, Metazoa, Mollusca, Bivalvia, Venerida, Veneridae.